This 76-nucleotide transfer RNA is filed under the name Actinomycetes bacterium. RNAcentral's name for it is "tRNA-Leu". It matches the Rfam family "tRNA". From Rfam's summary of the family: Transfer RNA (tRNA) molecules are approximately 80 nucleotides in length. The record is from RNAcentral. Lineage: Bacteria; Bacillati; Actinomycetota; Actinomycetes.
GGGGGCGUAUUCCAACGGCAGAGAAAGAGGACUUAAAAUCCUUAAAGUGUGGGUUCGAAUCCCACCGCCCCUACCA